AGUGAACGCUGGCGGUAGGCCUAACACAUGCAAGUCGAACGGCAGCACAGUAAGAGCUUGCUCUUACGGGUGGCGAGUGGCGGACGGGUGAGGAAUACAUCGGAAUCUACUUUUUCGUGGGGGAUAACGUAGGGAAACUUACGCUAAUACCGCAUACGACCUACGGGUGAAAGCAGGGGAUCUUCGGACCUUGCGCGUUUGAAUGAGCCGAUGUCGGAUUAGCUAGUUGGCGGGGUAAAGGCCCACCAAGGCGACGAUCCGUAGCUGGUCUGAGAGGAUGAUCAGCCACACUGGAACUGAGACACGGUCCAGACUCCUACGGGAGGCAGCAGUGGGGAAUAUUGGACAAUGGGCGGAAGCCUAGUCCAGCCAUACCGCGUGGGUGAAGAAGGCCUUCGGGUUGUAAAGCCCUUUUGUUGGGAAAGAAAAGCAGCAGGUUAAUACCCCGCUGUUCUGACGGUACCCAAAGAAUAAGCACCGGCUAACUUCGUG
This 492-nucleotide ribosomal RNA is filed under the name uncultured bacterium. RNAcentral describes it as "partial 16S ribosomal RNA". It matches the Rfam family "Bacterial small subunit ribosomal RNA", at positions 29 to 507 of the family's 1533-position model. The record is from RNAcentral.